This 1647-nucleotide long non-coding RNA is filed under the name Junco hyemalis (dark-eyed junco). RNAcentral's name for it is "lncRNA (ENSJHYG00000005602.1)". Lineage: Eukaryota; Metazoa; Chordata; Aves; Passeriformes; Passerellidae. The record is from RNAcentral.
CGCGCGGCGCUGCCAUAAACACGGCAAGAUGGCGGCGCUCACGCCGCCCGCCCGCCCGUGCUGCGUCAUGUCGCGCCCCGGCCCCGCCGCGCCCGCAGGCUGGCCGGGAUUCGCGCUCAAACCGCGCCGGGGAAGAUGGAGAUGAGGUUUGUUCCCCUCAGGAGCCCGCGCGGGGUGCGAGCGGCUCGCAGCGCCCGGAGAUCCUCGGCCCGUGCGUAGGGGUGGGGAGGGACCAGCCCCGGGGCUGUGGGCAGGGAAUGUCCCCAGCCCCAUCGCUACGAUGCUGAAGGAAUUUUGGUUCCUAUGACACAACUGCAAAAAUAUCACCAGCCCCAAAGGGGCAGGAGGUGGAACUGGAGUUUAAACACCAACCAGGCCAGCUUAAACGGGUUUCAAAGUUGCAAACUUGUAAGGCAGCGUUUUCACGGCUGGAUCCAGCCCAGCGUUUUGUGUUUGUCUCCCAAAAACAGCCUCGGGGACAUCUCAGCACCUUCUCUUUGCCAGCAGCCAUGUGGUCCUGCUGACUCCAUUCAACCAGCACAGCUGGACUGGGGAACUCAGCUCAUCCUUCAUGGCAAAAAAUUCCACUUUCCUCCAGAUCUGGAGCUUGUUUGCCAUCCUGCCUGGAUUUCUGAACCCUCUGUGCCAUUAUGAACAACACCCCUCCUGGAAACACAACCUUGAUUCCCAAUCUCUUUAUGACAGAGGAAGGGAGAAUAUGUAAACCCCACCUCAAAAUGCUGCUUUUUAACCCAGAGUGAGGAAUUGUAAUUUCCAAAAGCACACGUGAGGAAAACAGCAGUAGCAGAGUGAGCUUUGGAAUUUGUCCAGGCGUUAAAGAUUUUAGGAAUGCUACGUGCUCUGUGUCACAUGUGUGCCCCUGAAUGGGACAGGGAGCCUGGACCGUGCUGGGCAUGACCUGAGAAAUGCCUCAACCAGGUACACAAACUCUGGGCUGUGUGGACAGAGAGGGACACGAUCAAUAUUGGAUCAUUUUGGUGACAAACGUGACAUUUCCCAUCUGAAAACAUUUAAUUAUUGCUCAGGUUGAGGUCACUGCUGUGCUUUGUGCCUCCCCACCAGCACACUCCAUUUCCAGACUUGCCCUUAUAAAACCCAGCUGUCGCACAUCCAACUUUUUCUGGGAUAUAUAUAUAUAUCUCCCAGAAAAAAAAUCUCCAUAUAUAUCCAUAAAUACCCCUGUGGAUGUGGAGCCAGUCCAUGAGAGCAGCAUUGUCUAGCCCCAGUGGUGUGGCUGGCAGGCAGCCAGGCAGCAAGUGGGUACCUGUGAGCUGUGCCAGCAGCAAGCUCAUCCUUCUGGAAAGGGCUGUGCUGGGAAGUGGGUGAGCUCAAGAAAAUGCAUUUGAGCUUCUGGGCACUAUUGAUUUGUCUUGAUGUAUUUUAUUCAUCUGCUUGAAGCACAAUGAAAACGUGCUGGUGGAAUGAGUCGGAGUUCAGGGGAGGGGGAGCCAGAAGUGGGGUUUGGAGCUGCCCGCCAUCACCAUCUUCCUCCUCUGCAGCUGCUCCAGAGCUCUACACAAACCCAGUUUCUGCUUCCCAGCAAGGCAGCAGAAGGGAUAUUUUUCAGCAGAGAAAUCUGAGGAGAAAAUGAAAAUAAAACUGUUGGUUUGGUUUGGGGUAAGAACA